GAAAUGCUUGUUUUUUUCAUUUAGUGGACGUGUUCUUUGAAUGCGCUCACCGAAUGGAAACAUCAUUUCCUGGCUUUUGUCGUCCCUCGUCCAGCCUCACGGCCGGGCUUGGGUGGCAAUUGCCGGAUACUCGGGAAGAGGCCUUGUGCUUCGACCCACUAUCUACACCUUUUUAGUCUUAACCUCUUCAGCGAAAGCGAGAGCAAUCUUACUUUCAAUGAUAAAAAUUAAAUUAAAA
RNAcentral lists this unclassified non-coding RNA (238 nucleotides) under soil metagenome. RNAcentral's name for it is "partial internal transcribed spacer 1". The record is from RNAcentral.